RNAcentral lists this ribosomal RNA (402 nucleotides) under uncultured Glomeromycotina. Its description in RNAcentral is "SSU rRNA". It matches the Rfam family "Eukaryotic small subunit ribosomal RNA", at positions 677 to 1077 of the family's 1831-position model. The record is from RNAcentral. Lineage: Eukaryota; Fungi; Glomeromycota.
GUACUGGCUUUACUGAUUCCUCCUUCUUGAAGAACUGUAAUGUCAUUAAUUUGGUGUUGCAGGGAAACAGGACUGUUACUUUGAAAAAAUUAGAAUGUUUAAAGCAAGCUAACGCUUGAAUACAUUAGCAUGGAAUAAUGAAAUAGGACGUUCGAUCCUAUUUUGUUGGUUUCUAGGAUUGACGUAAUGAUUAAUAGGGAUAGUUGGGGGCAUUAGUAUUCAAUUGUCAGAGGUGAAAUUCUUGGAUUUAUUGAAGACUGACUACUGCGAAAGCAUUUGCCAAGGAUGUUUUCAUUAAUCAAGAACGAAAGUUAGGGGAUCGAAGACGAUCAGAUACCGUCGUAGUCUUAACCAUAAACUAUGCCGACUAGGGAUCGGAUGAUGUUAAUUUUUUAAUGACUC